This 1065-nucleotide ribosomal RNA is filed under the name unidentified rumen bacterium 30-33. RNAcentral describes it as "bacterial SSU rRNA". It matches the Rfam family "Bacterial small subunit ribosomal RNA", at positions 8 to 1066 of the family's 1533-position model. Lineage: Bacteria; Pseudomonadati; Bacteroidota; Bacteroidia; Bacteroidales; Bacteroidaceae. The record is from RNAcentral.
AGAGUUUGAUCCUGGCUCAGGAUGAACGCUAGCUACAGGCUUAACACAUGCAAGUCGAGGGGCAGCAUAUCGGUAGCUUGCUACUGAUGAUGGCGACCGGCGCACGGGUGAGUAACGCGUAUCCAACCUUCCCCUUACUAGAGGAUAGCCCGGCGAAAGUCGGAUUAAUACUGUAUAUUGUUCAAUGCGGGCAUCUAAGUUGAAUGAAAGGUUUACCGGUAAGGGAUGGGGAUGCGUCUGAUUAGGUUGUUGGCGGGGUAACGGCCCACCAAGCCAUCGAUCAGUAGGGGUUCUGAGAGGAAGGUCCCCCACAUUGGAACUGAGACACGGUCCAAACUCCUACGGGAGGCAGCAGUGAGGAAUAUUGGUCAAUGGGCGAGAGCCUGAACCAGCCAAGUAGCGUGCAGGAAGACGGCCCUAUGGGUUGUAAACUGCUUUUAUACAGGGAUAAAGUGAGGGACGUGUCCCUUUUUGUAGGUACCGCAUGAAUAAGGACCGGCUAAUUCCGUGCCAGCAGCCGCGGUAAUACGGAAGGUCCGGGCGUUAUCCGGAUUUAUUGGGUUUAAAGGGAGCGCAGGCGGAGGCUUAAGCGUGACGUGAAAUGUAGCCGCUCAACGGCUGAGUUGCGUCGCGAACUGGGUUUCUUGAGUGAGUGCGACGUCAGCGGAAUUCGUGGUGUAGCGGUGAAAUGCUUAGAUAUCACGAAGAACCCCGAUUGCGAAGGCAGCUGACGAGCCCUUUACUGACGCUAAAGCUCGAAGGUGCGGGUAUCGAACAGGAUUAGAUACCCUGGUAGUCCGCACGGUAAACGAUGGAUGCCCGCUGUUGGCGAUAUACAGCCAGCGGCCAAGCGAAAGCGUUAAGCAAACCACCUGGGGAGUACGCCGGCAACGGNNAAACUCAAAGGAAUUGACGGGGGCCCGCACAAGCGGAGGAACAUGUGGUUUAAUUCGAUGAUACGCGAGGAACCUUACCCGGGCUUGAACUGCAGGGGAACGAUCCAGAGAUGGUGAGGUCAGCAAUGACCCCUGUGGAGGUGCUGCAUGGUUGUCGUCAGCUCGUGCC